GAUGAACGCUAGCGGCAGGCCUAAUACAUGCAAGUCGAACGGUAAGGCCCUUUCGGGGGUACACGAGUGGCGGACGGGUGCGUAACGCGUAUGCAACAUGCCUUCCAGCGGGGGAUAUACCAGGGAAACUUGGCGCAAUACCCCAUAGAAUUACGGGACCGCAUGGUCUUGUGAUUAAAACUCCGGUGCUGGGAGAUUGGCAUGCGUGACAUUAGCUAGUUGGCGGGGUAACGGCCCACCAAGGCGUAGAUGGGUAGCUGGUCUGAGAGGAUGAUCAGCCACACUGGAACUGAGACACGGUCCAGACUCCUACGGGAGGCAGCAGUGGGGAAUAUUGCGCAAUGGGCGAAAGCCUGACGCAGCAACGCCGCGUGGGUGAAGAAGGUCUUCGGAUCGUAAAGCCCUGUCAGGAGGACGAACAAAUGACGGUACCUCCAAAGGAAGCACUGGCUAACUCCGUAGCCAGCAGCCGCGGUAAUG
RNAcentral lists this ribosomal RNA (480 nucleotides) under uncultured bacterium. RNAcentral describes it as "bacterial SSU rRNA". It matches the Rfam family "Bacterial small subunit ribosomal RNA", at positions 28 to 525 of the family's 1533-position model. The record is from RNAcentral.